CCUGUUUCCUCGCGCUCGCCCCCGGCUAGAAAAUUGGCUCCUCCACCUGGUGAGACCGUGGCCUCCUCUUGGCCACCUCUCUAUGCUGUCCAGGAUCGUGAGAUUCAUCUUGGACCUGGCAUCAAAAUGCGAGAAGCAGC
Long non-coding RNA from Ixodes scapularis (black-legged tick), 140 nucleotides. RefSeq lists it as uncharacterized. The transcript is spliced from 3 exons. The record is from RefSeq and is a predicted model, not a curated record. NCBI's taxonomy places the organism in Eukaryota, Metazoa, Arthropoda, Arachnida, Ixodida, Ixodidae.